This 374-nucleotide long non-coding RNA is filed under the name Trifolium pratense (red clover). Its description in RNAcentral is "long non-coding RNA (TPRA_LNC013110)". Lineage: Eukaryota; Viridiplantae; Streptophyta; Magnoliopsida; Fabales; Fabaceae. The record is from RNAcentral.
CAUCAUCAUAUAGACAAAUACAUCAAACAAUUCCAAUUAUGUGUCACAUACCAAUUAUCAUAUAAUGUACACAUAACCUAAUGCAAAUCUAAUGCUUCAACUUCAUGCUAUGUCAUCCUAGACAUUUCUAAUGCAUGUGGUACCAUCUUCUUUAUUAGAGUAUCUCACCUCUAAUAACCUUCUUUAUCGGAUAAAUAUAAUCCGAUAUCCUUCUUUAUUGGAAUAUCCAAUAUCACAUAUAUUCAUGAAUGCAUGUAUGUAUUUCAUGAAUUCACUCACAAUCAAUAGCAUUAAGCUCUUCAUUUACUAAUGUGGAACACUAUCCAACAUUACAUCUUUAUUAAGAUAACACUAUACCUUAAUAUCCUUCUUUA